Molecule: ribosomal RNA, 301 nt
Filed under: uncultured bacterium
Lineage: Bacteria
Description: partial 16S ribosomal RNA
Rfam family: Bacterial small subunit ribosomal RNA
Source: RNAcentral
CAGUCGCCACGGUAAUACAGAGGGUGCGAGCGUUAAUCGGAUUUACUGGGCGUAAAGCGUGCGUAGGCGGCUUCUUAAGUCGGAUGUGAAAUCCCUGAGCUUAACUUAGGAAUUGCAUUCGAUACUGGGAAGCUAGAGUAUGGGAGAGGAUAGUAGAAUUCCAGGUGUAGCGGUGAAAUGCGUAGAGAUCUGGAGGAAUACCGAUGGCGAAGGCAGCCAUCUGGCCUAAUACUGACGCUGAGGUACAAAAGCAUGGGGAGCAAACAGGAUUAGAUACCCCCGUAGUCCCUGUCUCUUAUAC